GGGGAAUUUUGGACAAUGGGCGAAAGCCUGAUCCAGCCAUGCCGCGUGAGUGAAGAAGGCCUUCGGGUUGUAAAGCUCUUUUAGUCGGAAAGAAAGAGUCGCAAUGAAUAAUUGUGAUUUAUGACGGUACCGACAGAAAAAGCACCGGCUAACUACGUGCCAGCAGCCGCGGUAAUACGUAGGGUGCGAGCGUUAAUCGGAAUUACUGGGCGUAAAGGGUGCGCAGGCGGUUUUGCAAGUCAGAUGUGAAAGCCCCGGGCUUAACCUGGGAAUUGCGUUUGAAACUACAAGGCUAGAGUGCAGCAGAGGGGAGUGGAAUUCCAUGUGUAGCAGUGAAAUGCGUAGAGAUGUGGAAGAACACCGAUGGCGAAGGCAGCUCCCUGGGUUGACACUGACGCUCAU
This 402-nucleotide ribosomal RNA is filed under the name uncultured bacterium. Its description in RNAcentral is "bacterial SSU rRNA". It matches the Rfam family "Bacterial small subunit ribosomal RNA", at positions 356 to 750 of the family's 1533-position model. The record is from RNAcentral.